This 652-nucleotide ribosomal RNA is filed under the name uncultured bacterium. Its description in RNAcentral is "bacterial SSU rRNA". It matches the Rfam family "Bacterial small subunit ribosomal RNA", at positions 1 to 647 of the family's 1533-position model. The record is from RNAcentral.
UGGGCCCGACGGUUUGAUCAUGGCUCAGAUUGAACGCUGGCGGCAUGCCUUACACAUGCAAGUCGAACGGCAGCACGGGGGUAACCCUGGUGGCGAGUGGCGAACGGGUGAGUAAUACAUCGGAACGUGUCCUAGAGUGGGGGAUAGCCCGGCGAAAGCCGGAUUAAUACCGCAUACGCUCGAGAGAGGAAAGCGGGGGAUCUUCGGACCUCGCGCUCAAGGGGCGGCCGAUGGCGGAUUAGCUAGUUGGUAGGGUAAAGGCCUACCAAGGCGACGAUCCGUAGCUGGUCUGAGAGGACGACCAGCCACACUGGGACUGAGACACGGCCCAGACUCCUACGGGAGGCAGCAGUGGGGAAUUUUGGACAAUGGGGGCAACCCUGAUCCAGCAAUGCCGCGUGUGUGAAGAAGGCCUUCGGGUUGUAAAGCACUUUUGUCCGGAAAGAAAUCCUCUGGGUUAAUACCUCGGGGGGAUGACGGUACCGGAAGAAUAAGCACCGGCUAACUACGUGCCAGCAGCCGCGGUAAUACGUAGGGUGCGAGCGUUAAUCGGAAUUACUGGGCGUAAAGCGUGCGCAGGCGGUUUGCUAAGACCGAUGUGAAAUCCCCGGGCUUAACCUGGGAACUGCAUUGGUGACUGGCAAGCUAGAGA